This 896-nucleotide ribosomal RNA is filed under the name Daldinia sp. RNAcentral's name for it is "partial large subunit ribosomal RNA". It matches the Rfam family "Eukaryotic large subunit ribosomal RNA", at positions 39 to 961 of the family's 3401-position model. The record is from RNAcentral. Lineage: Eukaryota; Fungi; Ascomycota; Sordariomycetes; Xylariales; Hypoxylaceae.
CAUAUCAAUAAGCGCAGGAAAAGAAACCAACAGGGAUUGCCCUAGUAACGGCGAGUGAAGCGGCAACAGCUCAAAUUUGAAAUCUGGCCCUAGCGGUCCGAGUUGUAAUUUGUAGAGGAUGCUUUUGGUUAGGUGCCUUCUGAGUUCCCUGGAACGGGACGCCAGAGAGGGUGAGAGCCCCGUACGGUUGGACACCGAGCCUCUAUAUAGCUCCUUCGACGAGUCGAGUAGUUUGGGAAUGCUGCUCUAAAUGGGAGGUAAAUUUCUUCUAAAGCUAAAUACCGGCCAGAGACCGAUAGCGCACAAGUAGAGUGAUCGAAAGAUGAAAAGUACUUUGAAAAGAGGGUUAAAUAGCACGUGAAAUUGUUGAAAGGGAAGCGUUUGCGACCAGACUUUUUCCAGGCGGAUCAUCCGGUGUUCUCACCGGUGCACUUCGCCUGGUUUAGGCCAGCAUCGGUUCUCUUAGGGGGAUAAAGGCCUGGGGAACGUAGCUCCUUCGGGAGUGUUAUAGCCCCUUGCGUAAUACCCUUCGGGGGACCGAGGAACGCGCAUCUGCAAGGAUGCUGGCGUAAUGGUCGUCAACGACCCGUCUUGAAACACGGACCAAGGAGUCGAACAUUUGUGCGAGUGUUUGGGUGUUAAACCCUCACGCGUAAUGAAAGUGAACGGAGGUGAGAGCCCUUCGGGGUGCAUCAUCGACCGAUCCUGAUGUCUUCGGAUGGAUUUGAGUAAGAGCAUAACUGUUCGGACCCGAAAGAUGGUGAACUAUGCGUGGAUAGGGUGAAGCCAGAGGAAACUCUGGUGGAGGCUCGCAGCGGUUCUGACGUGCAAAUCGAUCGUCAAAUCUGCGCAUGGGGGCGAAAGACUUAUCGAACCAUCUAGUAGCUGGUUACCGC